GGUCCCGUAGCUCAGUUGGAUAGAGCACCAGAUUCCUAAUCUGGGGGUCGCGCGUUCGAAUCGCGCCGGGAUCACCA
This 77-nucleotide transfer RNA is filed under the name Maritalea myrionectae. RNAcentral describes it as "tRNA-Arg". It matches the Rfam family "tRNA". From Rfam's summary of the family: Transfer RNA (tRNA) molecules are approximately 80 nucleotides in length. Their secondary structure includes four short double-helical elements and three loops (D, anti-codon, and T loops). Further hydrogen bonds mediate the characteristic L-shaped molecular structure. tRNAs have two regions of fundamental functional importance: the anti-codon, which is responsible for specific mRNA codon recognition, and the 3' end, to which the tRNAs corresponding amino acid is attached (by aminoacyl-tRNA synthetases). tRNAs cope with the degeneracy of the genetic code in two manners: having more than one tRNA (with a specific anti-codon) for a particular amino acid; and 'wobble' base-pairing, i.e. permitting non-standard base-pairing at the 3rd anti-codon position. RNAcentral also lists the same sequence under 7 other names. The record is from RNAcentral. Lineage: Bacteria; Pseudomonadati; Pseudomonadota; Alphaproteobacteria; Hyphomicrobiales; Devosiaceae.